This 388-nucleotide ribosomal RNA is filed under the name uncultured bacterium. RNAcentral's name for it is "bacterial SSU rRNA". It matches the Rfam family "Bacterial small subunit ribosomal RNA", at positions 42 to 424 of the family's 1533-position model. The record is from RNAcentral.
UCAGGCCUAACACAUGCAAGUCGAGCGGCAGCGGGAAGGUAGCUUGCUACUUUUGCCGGCGAGAAAAGGACGGGUGAGUAAUACCUGGGAAAUUGCCCAGUCGAGGGGGAUAACAGUUGGAAACGACUGCUAAUACCGCAUACGCCCUACGGGGGAAAGCAGGGGACCUUCGGGCCUUGCGCGAUUGGAUAUGCCCAGGUGGGAUUAGCUAGUUGGUGAGGUAAUGGCUCACCAAGGCGACGAUCCCUAGCUGGUCUGAGAGGAUGAUCAGCCACACUGGAACUGAGACACGGUCCAGACUCCUACGGGAGGCAGCAGUGGGGAAUAUUGCACAAUGGGGGAAACCCUGAUGCUUCAAAGGGGCGUGUGUGAAGAAGGCCUUCGGGUG